GCGGGCGUAGCCGAAUUGGUACAGGCGCCAGACUUAGGAUCUGGUGGGACGGAAGUCCCGUGGGAGUUCGAGUCUCCCCGCCCGCACCA
This 89-nucleotide transfer RNA is filed under the name Pseudomonadota bacterium. RNAcentral describes it as "tRNA-Leu". It matches the Rfam family "tRNA". From Rfam's summary of the family: Transfer RNA (tRNA) molecules are approximately 80 nucleotides in length. RNAcentral also lists the same sequence under 1 other name. Lineage: Bacteria; Pseudomonadati; Pseudomonadota. The record is from RNAcentral.